Molecule: ribosomal RNA, 419 nt
Filed under: uncultured bacterium
Lineage: Bacteria
Description: partial 16S ribosomal RNA
Rfam family: Bacterial small subunit ribosomal RNA
Source: RNAcentral
AAUUUUUGACAAUGGACGCAAGUCUGAACCAGCCACGUCGCGUGAAGGAAGACGGACAUACGGAUUGUAAACUUCUUUUGUAAGGGCAUAAAGUGAGUCACGUGUGACUUUUUGCAUGUACCUUACGAAUAAGGAUCGGCUAACUGCGUGCCAGCAGCCGCGGUAAUACGGAGGAUCCGAGCGUUAUCCGGAUUUAUUGGGUUUAAAGGGUGCGCAGGCGGGAGAUUAAGUCGGCGGUGAAAUUUUGCAGCUCAACUGUAAAAGUGCCUUCGAAACUGGUUUCCUUGAGUGUAGAUGAAGUAGGCGGAAUUUGUGGUGUAGCGGUGAAAUGCAUAGAUAUCACGAGGAACUCCGAUUGCGCAGGCAGCUUACUAAGCUACUACUGACGCUCAGGCACGAAGGCGUGGGGAUCAAACAGG